GAUGAACGCUGGCGGCGUGCCUAAUACAUGCAAGUCGAGCGAAGUGGGGACGGGUGAGUAACACGUAGAUAACCUCCUAUAAGCCUGGGAUAACUUCGGGAAACCGGAGCUAAACCGGAUAAUUAUAGAUUGAUUGGCGUGGCUUUAGCGAGUUGGUAAGGGAACGGCUAACCAAGGCAACGUUGCAUAGCGGACCUGAGAGGGUGAUCGGCCACCCUGGAACGGAGACACGGUCCAGACUCCUACGGGAGGCAGCAGUAGGGAAUCUUCCGAAAUGGGCGAAAGCCUGACGGAGCAACGCCGCGUGGGUGAGGAAGGUCUUCGGGUCGUAAAACUCUGUUAGUAGGGAAGCGGUACCUAAUCAGAAAGCCACGGCUAACUACGUGCCAGCAGCCGCGGUAAUUC
RNAcentral lists this ribosomal RNA (405 nucleotides) under uncultured bacterium. Its description in RNAcentral is "partial 16S ribosomal RNA". It matches the Rfam family "Bacterial small subunit ribosomal RNA", at positions 28 to 526 of the family's 1533-position model. The record is from RNAcentral.